This 501-nucleotide ribosomal RNA is filed under the name uncultured bacterium. RNAcentral's name for it is "partial 16S ribosomal RNA". It matches the Rfam family "Bacterial small subunit ribosomal RNA", at positions 30 to 523 of the family's 1533-position model. The record is from RNAcentral.
AUUGAACGCUGGCGGCAGGCUUAACACAUGCAAGUCGAGCGGAGCGAGGGUGCUUGCACCUUAGCUUAGCGGCGGACGGGUGAGUAAUGCUUAGGAAUCUGCCUAUUAGUGGGGGACAACAUUCCGAAAGGAAUGCUAAUACCGCAUACGCCCUACGGGGGAAAGCAGGGGAUCUUCGGACCUUGCGCUAAGAGAUGAGCCUAAGUCGGAUUAGCUAGUUGGUGGGGUAAAGGCCUACCAAGGCGACGAUCUGUAGCGGGUCUGAGAGGAUGAUCCGCCACACUGGGACUGAGACACGGCCCAGACUCCUACGGGAGGCAGCAGUGGGGAAUAUUGGACAAUGGGCGGAAGCCUGAUCCAGCCAUGCCGCGUGUGUGAAGAAGGCCUUUUGGUUGUAAAGCACUUUAAGCGAGGAGGAGGCUACUUAGAUUAAUACUCUGGGAUAGUGGACGUUACUCGCAGAAUAGGCACCGGCUAACUCUGUGCCAGCAGCCGCAGUAA